CGACGCCGCGUGCGGGAUGAAGGCCUUCGGGUUGUAAACCGCUGUCAGUUGGGAGGAAAUGCAUCAGGGUUAUCCCUGGUGUUUGACCGAUCUUCAGAGGAAGCGCAGGCUAAGUUCGUGCCAGCCACUGCGGUGACUGAGCGGGCUGGCAAGGCGCAUA
RNAcentral lists this ribosomal RNA (160 nucleotides) under uncultured bacterium. Its description in RNAcentral is "partial 16S ribosomal RNA". It matches the Rfam family "Bacterial small subunit ribosomal RNA", at positions 392 to 539 of the family's 1533-position model. The record is from RNAcentral.